GAUGAACGCUGGCGGCGUGCCUAAUACAUGCAAGUCGAGCGAACAGACGAGGAGCUUGCUCCUCUGACGUUAGCGGCGGACGGGUGAGUAACACGUGGAUAACCUACCUAUAAGACUGGGAUAACUUCGGGAAACCGGAGCUAAUACCGGAUAAUAUAUUGAACCGCAUGGUUCAAUAGUGAAAGACGGUUUUGCUGUCACUUAUAGAUGGCUCCGCGCCGCAUUAGCUAGUUGGUAAGGUAACGGCUUACCAAGGCAACGAUGCGUAGCCGACCUGAGAGAGUGAUCGGCCACACUGGAACUGAGACACGGACCAGACUCCUACGGUAGGCAGCAGUAGGGAAUCUUCCGCAAUGGGCGAAAGCUUGACGGAGCAACGCCGCGUGAGUGAUGAAGGUCUUCGGAUCGUAAAGCUCUGUUAUUAGGGAAGAACAAAUGUGUAAGUAACUAUGCACGUCUUGACGGUACCUAAUCAGAAAGCCACGGCUAACUACGUG
This 497-nucleotide ribosomal RNA is filed under the name uncultured bacterium. RNAcentral's name for it is "partial 16S ribosomal RNA". It matches the Rfam family "Bacterial small subunit ribosomal RNA", at positions 28 to 507 of the family's 1533-position model. The record is from RNAcentral.